UUCUCAAGAAUCAUGGGAAACGCCAGCGAGCUGGAGCAAAGUUAGGCAACGGUGCCCCAAAAUUCAUAAAUAUCUUUUCUUAAACGUACUUAGGCAUUUAGAAUUUUAACCAAAGUUUUUUUUUCUAUUGUUAGAUUUGAACACCUUUCAUAAAUAACAAAUACAACUCACUUAAGCAUACUUUACCCUCACGGGCUGCAAGGAAUAAAUAUUUCUUAGGCACUUGAUAUAAAUUUUGAACCUCUAAUCAAAAAGGGUGCAUAAUUUUAAAUAUUUUAUUAUUAUUUAUCCAUUCUAACCCUGCUUAGACAACAUUCUGCGACUACUUUAUUAAUAAAAUAGCAUCCAGAAAUUUCCGGAAUUCUGUGAUAGAGAGAUGGUUACUGGAUGCUAUGCUAAAAAUUUGGCUUCCACUUCAUGAAAUGUUACAGUGGUUAUUUAGCUGUAACAUACCACCAAUUCCUAAUUACUCGAUAUGUUCACAGUUUCCUGGAAGAAAUUGUCAAAUGUGAAGUGCCCAUCAUAUUAUUUCACAGCCAUUAACAAUGUGUAGAGUUCUGCAUAAUCAUCUGAUUGAGUUCUGUAUUCAACAGUUUUUAGUAGCUUGGAAUAUACUGAAGGAUAUAAAGAAAUGAAUGGAAUGAGGCCUCUUCAUGCUGACCAGGUAGAGA
This is a long non-coding RNA of Stegodyphus dumicola, 671 nucleotides long. The record is from RefSeq and is a predicted model, not a curated record. NCBI's taxonomy places the organism in Eukaryota, Metazoa, Arthropoda, Arachnida, Araneae, Eresidae.